GACGAACGCUGGCGGCGUGCCUAAUACAUGCAAGUUGAGCGCUGAAGGUUGGUACUUGUACCAACUGGAUGAGCAGCGAACGGGUGAGUAACGCGUGGGGAAUCUGCCUUUGAGCGGGGGACAACAUUUGGAAGCGAAUGCUAAUACCGCAUAAAAACUUUAAACACAAGUUUUAAGUUUGAAAGAUGCAAUUGCAUCACUCAAAGAUGAUCCCGCGUUGUAUUAGCUAGUUGGUGAGGUAAAGGCUCACCAAGGCGAUGAUACAUAGCCGACCUGAGAGGGUGAUCGGCCACAUUGGGACUGAGACACGGCCCAAACUCCUACGGGAGGCAGCAGUAGGGAAUCUUCGGCAAUGGACGAAAGUCUGACCGAGCAACGCCGCGGGAGUGAAGAAGGGUGUCGGAUCGUAAAACUCUGUUGGUAGAGAAGAACGUUGGUGAGAGUGGAAAGCUCAUCAAGUGACGGUAACUACCCAGAAAGGGACGGCUAACUACGUG
Molecule: ribosomal RNA, 497 nt
Filed under: uncultured bacterium
Lineage: Bacteria
Description: partial 16S ribosomal RNA
Rfam family: Bacterial small subunit ribosomal RNA
Source: RNAcentral